RNAcentral lists this ribosomal RNA (253 nucleotides) under uncultured bacterium. RNAcentral describes it as "partial 16S ribosomal RNA". It matches the Rfam family "Bacterial small subunit ribosomal RNA", at positions 524 to 776 of the family's 1533-position model. The record is from RNAcentral.
UACGUAGGGAGCAAGCGUUGUCCGGAAUCAUUGGGCGUAAAGCGCGCGUAGGCGGCCCUGUAAGUCCGUUGUGAAAGUCAAAGGCUCAACCUUUGAAAGCCGAUGGAUACUGCAGGGCUAGAGUCCGGGAGAGGAGAGUGGAAUUCCUGGUGUAGCGGUGAAAUGCGCAGAUAUCAGGAAGAACACCCGUGGCGAAAGCGGCUCUCUGGAACGGUACUGACGCUGAGACGCGAAAGCGUGGGGAGCGAACAGG